RNAcentral lists this ribosomal RNA (482 nucleotides) under uncultured bacterium. RNAcentral describes it as "partial 16S ribosomal RNA". It matches the Rfam family "Bacterial small subunit ribosomal RNA", at positions 30 to 507 of the family's 1533-position model. The record is from RNAcentral.
AUUGAACGCUGGCGGCAUGCCUUACACAUGCGAGUCGAACGGUAACAGGUCUUCGGACGCUGACGAGUGGCGCACGGGUGAGUAAUGCAUCGGAACGUGCCCAGUCGUUGGGGAUAACUGCUCGAAAGAGCAGCUAAUACCUCAUACGACCUGAGGUUUAAAGCGGGGGACCGUAAUGCCUCGCGCGAUUUGAGCGGCCGAUGUCAGAUUAGCUAGUUGGUGGGGUAAAGGCCUACCAAGGCAACGAUCUGUAGUUGGUCUGAGAGGACGACCAGCCACACUGGGACUGAGACACGGCCCAGACUCCUACGGGAGGCAGCAGUGGGGAAUUUUGGACAAUGGGCGCAAGCCUGAUCCAGCAAUGCCGCGUGCAGGAAGAAGGCCUUCGGGUUGUAAACUGCUUUUGUCAGGGAAGAAAUCUUCUGGGCUAAUACCCCGGGAGGAUGACGGUACCUGAAGAAUAAGCACCGGCUAACUACGUG